This 246-nucleotide ribosomal RNA is filed under the name uncultured bacterium. RNAcentral's name for it is "partial 16S ribosomal RNA". It matches the Rfam family "Bacterial small subunit ribosomal RNA", at positions 87 to 334 of the family's 1533-position model. The record is from RNAcentral.
AAUGGCGACCGGGGCACGGUGGAGUAACACGUAUCCAACCUGCCGAUAACUCGGGGAUAGCCUUUCGAAAGAAAGAUUAAUACCCGAUGGUAUAAUCAGACCGCAUGGUUUGAUUAUUAAAGAAUUUCAGUUAUCGAUGGGGAUGCGUUCCAUUAGGCAGUUGGUGAGGUAACGGCUCACCAAACCUUCGAUGGAUAGGGGUUCUGAGAGGAAGGUCCCCCACAUUGGAACUGAGACACGGUCCAA